UUGCGAUGUAGUUUAUAGAAAAUGCUUAUUUUACACAUAGGAGAACUUGUUGUGAAGCUUUGCUAA
Molecule: transfer RNA, 66 nt
Filed under: Pseudanoplocephala crawfordi
Lineage: Eukaryota; Metazoa; Platyhelminthes; Cestoda; Cyclophyllidea; Hymenolepididae
Description: tRNA-Val
Source: RNAcentral